UUAUAAAUGUGAGCACAUGGAAAGAAUUGUAAUAAUGAUAAAAUAACCCUUCAAUUCAAUGGAUGGGUCAAUUAUUAUUUUAAUUACAGUUGCUAGCAUUAUAUACAAAGAGGAAUUGCUUGUUUCUUCUUAUUCUUCAAUUUAGAAAAGAAGAAGAAAUAAAAUUGUACAGUUAUAGUAUCUUUGUAAUGCAAAAACAGAAAAAACAAAGAAAAGGGCUAAAAAUACCAUAGUCCCACUUUUGAACAUCUGUUGUUAAAAUCUUAGAAGCUUGUGGUCAGCCAGCAUUUGAAUUUUGUCUUAUGUAAUAAAAUUUAAAUGAUAAUAUUGGAGAACAGAUAAGUAUGGAAUCUUGAUAAGAAACAAAAGGCCAACAAUAAACAGAAACUAACUCUUUUCUCAUCUUUUGUUUGCCAUUCUCUUUAUUUUUCUUCUUUGAUUUCCCCCAUUAUCAACACCACUAGCUCACAAAUUUAAUGCCUUUGGGGGUCCAUAUGCAAAUCCAUUAUAGGCAGAAUCAGCAGCACAUGUUUAUUGCUCUUUACUCAAGGCAUACACAUGCAUAUGAGGGCAUUCAAUCUCAAUCCAAAAUGUCAUUUGUGUAUUGAACACAUACAGAGGUUUCCUUCUUCUUGUAUUUCUUUUUU
Molecule: long non-coding RNA, 647 nt
Organism: Cannabis sativa
Lineage: Eukaryota; Viridiplantae; Streptophyta; Magnoliopsida; Rosales; Cannabaceae
Exons: 2
Source: RefSeq, a predicted model, not a curated record